UGCUUUCACUUUUGUAAGUCACUCUGGAUAAGAGCGUGUGCUAAAUUACAAAAA
This is a non-coding RNA of Salmo salar (Atlantic salmon), 54 nucleotides long. NCBI's taxonomy places the organism in Eukaryota, Metazoa, Chordata, Actinopteri, Salmoniformes, Salmonidae. The record is from Rfam.